This 658-nucleotide ribosomal RNA is filed under the name uncultured eukaryote. RNAcentral describes it as "bacterial SSU rRNA". It matches the Rfam family "Eukaryotic small subunit ribosomal RNA", at positions 321 to 1018 of the family's 1831-position model. The record is from RNAcentral.
UUUGAUGGUAGUGUAUUGGACUACCAUGGCUAUCACGGGUAACGGAGAAUUAGGGUUCGAUUCCGGAGAGGGAGCCUGAGAAACGGCUACCACUUCCAAGGAAGGCAGCAGGCGCGUAAAUUACCCAAUCCUGAUUCAGGGAGGUAGUCACGAGAAAUCUUUUAUUAGCGUAAAGCUAAAUCAGAGAUGGAUUAAAUAUAGACCAUUUUUUGAAAUCAAUUGGAGGGCAAGUCUUGGUGCCAGCAGCCGCGGUAAUUCCAGCUCCAAUAGUGUAUAUUAACGUUGCUGCAGUUAAAAAGCUCGUAGUUGAAUUUCUGCUAGUGGGCUGUGCCUCCGGGCCCAGUCUGCAUAGCAUCCGCGCCGGACGGCUCAACAGCUCUGCUUUGAGUCGAAUGCGUGUUUUACUUUGAAAAAAUCAGAGUGUUCCAGGCAGGCUUUGCUUGAAUACAUCAGCAUGGAAUAAUGGAAUAGGACAGGUCACUUUUAUUGGUUAUUUGACUUGUAAUGAUUAACAGGGACAGUUGGGGGCGUUUGUAUUCAAUAGUCAGAGGUGAAAUUCUUGGAUUUGUUGAAGACAAACUAAUGCGAAAGCAUUCGCCAAGGAUGUUUUCAUUAAUCAAGAACGAAAGUUAGGGGAUCAAAGACGAUUAGAUACCGU